GAUUAAAACUCAAAGGAAUUGACGGGGACCCGCCCAAGCAGUGGAGUAUGUGGUUUAAUUCGAAGCAACGCGAAGAACCUUACCAGCUCUUGACAUCCCAAUGAAAGUAUUAGAGAUAGUACCCCUCUUCGGAGCAUUGGAGACAGGUGGUGCAUGGUUGUCGUCAGCUCGUGUCGUGAGAUGUUGGGUUAAGUCCCGCAACGAGCGCAACCCUUGAUCUUAGUUGCCAGCAGGUUAAGCUGGGCACUCUAAGGUGACUGCCGGUGACAAACCGGAGGAAGGUGGGGAUGACGUCAAAUCAUCAUGCCCCUUAUGAGCUGGGCUACACACGUACUACAAUGGCCGGUACAACGGGCUGCGAUACCGCGAGGUGGAGCGAAUCCUUAAAAGCCGGUCUCAGUUCGGAUUGCAGGCUGCAACUCGCCUGCAUGAAGUCGGAAUUGCUAGUAAUCGCGGACCAGCAUGCCGCGGUGAAUACCUUCCCGGGUCUUGUACACACCGCCCGUCACACCACGAGAGUUUACAACACCCGAAGUCCGUGGGGUAACCCGCAAGGGAGCCAGCCGCCGAAGGUGGGGUAGAUGAUUGGGGUGAAGUCGUAACAAGGUAACCGUA
RNAcentral lists this ribosomal RNA (615 nucleotides) under Paenibacillus sp. DF4SR2. RNAcentral describes it as "bacterial SSU rRNA". It matches the Rfam family "Bacterial small subunit ribosomal RNA", at positions 892 to 1504 of the family's 1533-position model. Lineage: Bacteria; Bacillati; Bacillota; Bacilli; Caryophanales; Paenibacillaceae. The record is from RNAcentral.